GGCGGCGUAGCGACAGGUAGUCGCACCCCGUUUACAUGUGCGGGGACGUUAGCACGGUUCGAGUCCGGUCGCCGCCA
RNAcentral lists this transfer RNA (77 nucleotides) under Gemmatimonas sp. SG8_17. Its description in RNAcentral is "tRNA-Val". The record is from RNAcentral. Lineage: Bacteria; Pseudomonadati; Gemmatimonadota; Gemmatimonadia; Gemmatimonadales; Gemmatimonadaceae.